Tripterygium wilfordii is the source of this 743-nucleotide long non-coding RNA. RefSeq lists it as uncharacterized. The record is from RefSeq and is a predicted model, not a curated record. Lineage: Eukaryota; Viridiplantae; Streptophyta; Magnoliopsida; Celastrales; Celastraceae. The transcript has 2 exons.
UUGUUUCUUUGGGUUUUUUUUUUUAUAUGUAAGGGGUUGUUUGGGGUAAUUAGGAGCACCAAACACGUACUUAGCAUUUAACACACGCUAAUGACGCUAUCUACUCGAUACUUACAACAAUUUUGAGCUCCAUAAGCAAUCCGAAUAUUUUCUUUCCGAUUGUCUCUGCUCUCUUUAGAAGCCAAAUCAAAUCCCCAAUCCCCAGAAAUUUAAGUGCUGGUUCUUCAUCUGGGUCGUUGUAAUUCUGGUUUUUGAAGGGUUUGGGGAGAUUUGGUGAGGGCACAGAGAUGGACAAGAGGAACCUCCACCACCAUAACCAGAGUGGGAGAAGAUCAUGUAAGGCUUGUUGUUUCACGUUCUCCUGCUUGUUUAGAGGGGCUGGGAGAUGCUUGUUUGUCACAUUUUACCCUGUCUUGCAGUGCUUUGGAUGCGAUGACUAUAGGCACCAACAUCACCACCACAGACAUUUUGAUUGAUCCCUCCCUCCUUAUUCUUUGUUGCUUAUGGUUUUGAUUGAUGUAAACACAUUCCAAUUCAUCUUCUAUGUUUUCUUUUGCUGUUCUUAGAUGAUGGUUAGGUCCAAUUGGAUUGUCAGGUGAUGAAGAAACUACUUGUUUAUAAGCCAAGUGGAGCAAAAAGUAAAAUCAAGUUCUGUUGAAGUAAUGCUGAAUAUCCAUUGUGGGAAAGACAAAGUUUCCAGAAAUUUUAUUUCAGAUGAAAAGGAAAAAAAAGAUUUGAGUGGU